Long non-coding RNA from Equus caballus (horse), 1809 nucleotides. The record is from Ensembl. Lineage: Eukaryota; Metazoa; Chordata; Mammalia; Perissodactyla; Equidae.
CUCCCAUGUGAACUCAAAAUUUCUACCUUUCUUCUUUUGUGAAAUAUAAUAACUAAUUAACUAAUAACCUACCAAGUGGAAGCCCCAGACAAGAGGGUACUAUGGUAAUCUGGAACCUUAGGAGUCUGGGGAGCCGUUGUUGCUAGAGAGGAACACAGUCUUCCUGCGGCAAGUGCCAAAGGCAAAAGGUUGUUCUCCCCUUGUCAAGGAAGGGGACAUGUGAGCUUCUGUCCACCCACAGGACUGGAGGUCUUCAACUGGGGGACAAUAAUGACUCCUCUACUAUGUCGCGGGUGUCCCUCCGAAUGAACAAUCCAGGAGAGGAGACAGGAGCCAGAAUGCAGCUCUCUCGACUGGCCUCAUUUUGCUGCAAACCUGGGGCCACAGGACACACCAACCAGUUGAGAUGGAUCCUUAGAAGUAGAACUUCUGGGCCAAGCAGUAAGCACAUUUUUAAAUGGAAGAGAUGUGCAUGUGAGGGCACCAUCCCAGCUCCAGACCUAGAGACCUUGAGAACACCAAACCACAGCAGGGACUGAGAUGACCCUGUUGCACCAGUGCCUGAUGCUGCUGUCCAGAACCAGCAGAAAACCAUGCAUGAGUGAUUCAUUUCGGCCCACAGAAAAGAUUUCCGUAUUAGAUCUCUACCAACUGUAGAUCUAUGACUACAGACGCAAGAUCACUAAGCCAUUGGCAGCGGAGUCCAAAACUUUACAGAAACCAAAAAAUGGUACUGCAGAGGCUGCAGCCCCUCCUGGUCUAAUGAACUUCGUGAUGGCGCUAACGGUGGUUUUGGAAGUUUCUUUGGAUUCCGAAAAGGAACUAAAUGGGCCAUCUCCUCCUCUCCAGAUGUGCUCCCUCUGAUGGAAGACAGGAAUUUCGUUUAGGGAUAAAUUUGUAUCUGUGGAUCUUUGCUUCGGUACCAUGAAGGUAAAUGCUGAAGGUGUUCCUGGGGGAGAAGACGUGUCCACUCUUAAGUUGAAGGCAAAGAAUCCUGCAGAAUGACCAGGCUGCUAGGUGGAUUCUUCUGUUCUGCUUUCUGUCUCUCAGACACUGCAGAGAACCUCGAUAAACAUCCAGAGCCAGCUUCAGGCAGCAUGAGCAUGACUGGAGGCUCUCUGGGAUGCUAUGGAUGAAACUAAUGAAAAGACUUGGGUGCUGGGGCCAGAAGACCCCACAUAGGGUGCAACAGUUGGUAGAAUUGCAGUUAAGUAGAGGGAAACAAACACAAGACAGAUUCCUUUUAGGUCUCUAAUUUUAUUUUGUUUUACUGAAGAAAAUGAAUCUAAACAGGAGAGCUAAAGUAUUGGCUGAGAUUUCUUCGUAAAAAGCCAACAUUGUAAGACUUCCUAUUAUAACAGUAUGAUGAGAUGAAAUACAAUUUAUUUCAUUACCUCUGAGAAUAAAAAUGUUCCCAUACUUCUAGGAAAUGACUAGUUGUUCUAUAGCCAUGGUAACAAAUAGUCAUCAGAACUUGUUUUAAACCUAUUUAAUUGUUCAGUGACAGCUUUGCACCAGUACACACAUUCCUGAAAGCCAGCCAGUCUAAACAUCAGUACCCAGCAACAGCUUCACUUCAGUAACCACUUCCACGGCUAAAGGCACACCAAUCCCAGAUGCUGCUACCUCUGAGAGUCCCCCAGCCCCCACUCUCCACAUUUUCCACAGCCCUAUAAAGGAUCAGCUCCCUGUGUUGCUCAGAAACAGACUGUGCCAUAACUCACAGCAUUCUCAUGCUACAGCUAGUAAUAAAUUCAGCCUUUUGUUUCAGAUAUUGUGUGGUGAUCUCUUCCUUUAACAUUUCUUAUU